GACGAACGCUGGCGGCGUGCUUAACACAUGCAAGUCGAACGGAAAGGCCCUGCUUUUGUGGGGUGCUCGAGUGGCGAACGGGUGAGUAACACGUGAGUAACCUGCCCUUGACUUUGGGAUAACUUCAGGAAACUGGGGCUAAUACCGGAUAGGAGCUCCUGCUGCAUGGUGGGGGUUGGAAAGUUUCGGCGGUUGGGGAUGGACUCGCGGCUUAUCAGCUUGUUGGUGUGGUAGUGGCUUACCAAGGCUUUGACGGGUAGCCGGCCUGAGAGGGUGACCGGCCACAAUGGGACUGAGAGACGGCCCAGACGCCUACGGGAGGCAGCAGUGGGGAAUAUUGCAGAAUGGGCGGAAGCCUGAUGCAGAAGCGCCGCGUGCGGAAUGACGGCCUUCGGGUUGUAAACCGCUUUCGCCUGUGACGAAGCGUGAGUGACGGUAAUGGGUAAAGAAGCACCGGCUAACUACGUG
RNAcentral lists this ribosomal RNA (468 nucleotides) under uncultured bacterium. Its description in RNAcentral is "partial 16S ribosomal RNA". It matches the Rfam family "Bacterial small subunit ribosomal RNA", at positions 28 to 507 of the family's 1533-position model. The record is from RNAcentral.